CUCAAGGGAUGGGAAGUGGCGGGCAGAGUGCCUCCCCCGCGCAUGUCAGGUUUCUGAUCCACCCCUAAUUUCAUUAUACACUGCUGCAUCUUAUUUGUCAUCUACUCACAACAUUGCAAGAUGUGGCAUGGCCUAACAGGAUGAGAUUACAAAGACUGAGGUGACAGAAUCUAGCCAUGUCGUGGGCAAGCCGGUUGGCAACAUUGUGACAUGACAUCAGUCGUGUGCGUUAAAAUCACGAACGACGGUGCUUGCUUUCAUAACCUAAUAUACUUCUCUCACAUGGAAAUUAUAUAAGUAUGGUUGUUUAUAACUGUAUGCACUGGACAUGUGUUCUAUCUCAGUAAUGUGCAUGUUUGCUGCAUUACUCAUUUACCCAUUCUGGUAAUUUUUUCUCUAAGUUUUUAGUCCACAAACCAAUGUUUAGUCUCUAGAAGAAAGUCAAGGUAUUAUGACGUAUAUAUGUCUCAUAUCCUAUAGAUUUUGGUCUGCCUUUUUCUUUGCUUACGGAGAUGCACCUGAUUAGUUUGUUUCACCUGUUUGAUAAAUAGUAUUCUUCACAAUAUAAUUUUAUUUCACGGUGUCUACUCAACGAAUUGCUUGCGAGUGUGUGUUUCACAAAUGGUGCAGAAUAAACUCCCAAUUAAAUCCUUGGAUAUAUAUAUAUAUAUAUAUAUAUAAUUUGCAGAGCUGCCCACACUUUAAAUUGCAACUGUGUGGUGAUCAGGACAUUCUGUGUUGCUUGGACAACCGAGCUGAGAUGGCGAUGCCACCACCUACUUGUAUCUGUACACGACCUCCGGUGAUGAUUUCUUUUCCAAAAAUGAAGAAGCUUGUCGUUCAACUGAUGACAAAACACCUAGAGUACGUGCAAAAAUUACUAUUUCCUCAUUUACAUCAAACUCAUUGAUACGACAAAGGGAAGAUUUUGGGUGGCAAGGUAUUUACCUAGAUCCUUGAGAUGUUAUUCAUAUUGGCCUGAAUGCAGUUGAAUUCUGAAUCAUAUAGAAGCUGGGAGAUUUGUCUUUCAAAUAGUAGGUGCUGAUGCUUAUGAUUUUCUUCAAAAAACAUAUGGGAAAGGCUAACUCAAUAUUUUAGUUUUCAUUAUGAGGACCAUGUACAUAAUCGACCAUAUAGUUCAAAAAAGAUCUAUUGAUGAAGGUUUGUUUGAGUUCCACUAUUUCAGUUCACACAUGUACAUGUUCUGCAUUUUUUGCAGUUUUCAGUGCAUGCUCGGAGAACUGGAUAAGAGGAGAGGCUUGAAUCUUGAGAUGACAAGGGUAGUCACCUACUGCGACUAAAGGUUCAGUUUCACACUUCUAAUGAUAUUGUUUGGAUGAUUGCCCUUGUACUAUUCUUUUUAGUACGUACUAAAAUAUCUUGUUGUACGAAAAUCUAAUUUCUACUAAAACUUUGUCAAGUGGCUCAUUUUUCUUGUACUAAAAUCUACAUUUUUUUACUGAUUACUGAAAUGUACCUUGUUACUAAAACUUCAUAGGAAGGAGGUCAAUGGAGCAAAAGGCACGAAAAGGAAGGAGCAGCACCACAGGGACGAUGUUGUCGGCAGCGCCUUUGGAAGGAUUCGCUCUAGAGAAGUUACGGUAGUCGGCCAUCGCCCAGGGGAAGCGGGGAGGAUGUUGUUCGGAACGCCUGGGUCUAGAGGAGUGUGUCCAGGUGGUCGCCGAGGAUGGCCACGAGCAGUUGGGUUGGGCAUUUGUCAACGUGAUGGCGUCGUUGCUCAAGGUACCAACACCCUUGUUUUGACCCAAUGUUUCUCAGCUAGCUGUGCAUGGCUGGGACUGUUUCGUGCAUCUGGGCGACGGCUCAUGCCAUCCACUUCCAAAGCAAUAAGGUAGCCAUCCAUGUCACUGUUGCUUGCUGUUAGUGUUUUUUUGGAUUCCAUAAGUGUUCCUUAAUGCAACAAUCAUUUUUCAAUUAGGACGGGAGUAUGAAAAAUGUUGUAAGGUUAUCGCCAUUUUUUUAAACUACAGAAGUCUGAAGAUUAGAAGCAUGAUCUUUUAUUUUUCAUGUUGCUCUACCUCUGUAGUGUCAAAUCGUAGGAACUUUUAUCACAUAUGUUUGUGCGCAGUAUGCUAAUUUAUCCUUGAUGGCAAAUAAUCCGGACAAAAUAUUCGGAAGUACUGGAGGCCUCGCCAGAGUAGGGGGGAAACUGUGGGAGUGGACGCACAUCAUGUAGGCGAGACGGCAGAGUUUGUGGUCGUACUGGCCAUGAGUGGGCAUAAACGAGUUUACACUAAUUACUUUACAUUAAUAUAUUGUUGUUUGCAGACUUGAAAGGAGAAAAUAUUGGCAAAAAGUCCCUCAAAAUUCAUUGUGUGGGUGUAGAAGGUUUGGGAAUUUUGAGCCGGAUGGGCCAUUGAUGGUUGCGGUUGGCUUGGAUAGGGAAGGUAGAGAUAGUAAGUGAAGAGGAGCAGGAGAACGAAGACGAAGAAGAAUAGUGGUUUAUAGGCAGAAAACAAUUAAGAAUGUUGCUUAAUGUGCAUGAGGAUCCAUACAAUGUAUAUUUGACACGAUUAAAGUUGACUCAUGUCGAGCCAGGGAAGGUAGAGAUAGUAAGUGAAGAGGAGCAGGAGAACGAAGACGAAGAAGAAUAGUGGUUUAUAGGCAGAAAACAAUUAAGAAUGUUGCUUAAUGUGCAUGAGGAUCCAUACAAUUUAUAUUUGACAUGAUUAAAGUUGACUCAUGUCGAGCCUCAGGGUGGUGGUGGACGGUUGGCUGCGGCCGCCGUGUAGUUGUGGAGCAGGUCCUGGGAGAGAUGUGGUUGGCGAGCCCGUGCCGGAAGAAAAGUGCCGCCGGUAGGCAAGGUAGGGUGGAUGGUGACCAUCACGCUAUUUUCGAGUGAGCGAGGCGUCCGCCAUCGCGCAGGCAAAGAAGUCGAAGCCUAGGUCAAGGUUGGCCACCGUGGUUGGCGUGAAA
This is a non-coding RNA of Aegilops tauschii subsp. strangulata, 2937 nucleotides long. Lineage: Eukaryota; Viridiplantae; Streptophyta; Magnoliopsida; Poales; Poaceae. The record is from RefSeq and is a predicted model, not a curated record.